GCGGCGGACGGGUGAGUAACGCGUGGGAACGUGCCCUUCUCUGCGGAAUAGCCACUGGAAACGGUGAGUAAUACCGCAUACGCCCUUCGGGGGAAAGAUUUAUCGGAGAAGGAUCGGCCCGCGUCUGAUUAGGUAGUUGGUGGGGUAAUGGCCUACCAAGCCUACGAUCAGUAGCUGGUUUUAGAGGAUGAUCAGCCACACUGGGACUGAGACACGGCCCAGACUCCUACGGGAGGCAGCAGUGGGGAAUCUUAGACAAUGGGCGCAAGCCUGAUCUAGCCAUGCCGCGUGAGCGAUGAAGGCCCUAGGGUCGUAAAGCUCUUUCGCCAGGGAUGAUAAUGACAGUACCUGGUAAAGAAACCCCGGCUAACUCCGUGCCAGCAGCCGCGGUAAUACGGAGGGGGUUAGCGUUGUUCGGAAUUACUGGGCGUAAAGCGCGCGUAGGCGGACCAGAAAGUUGGGGGUGAAAUCCCGGGGCUCAACCCCGGAACGGCCUCCAAAACUCCUGGUCUUGAGUUCGAGAGAGGUGAGUGGAAUUCCGAGUGUAGAGGUGAAAUUCGUAGAUAUUCNGAGGAACACCAGUGGCGAAGGCGGCUCACUGGCUCGAUACUGACGCUGAGGUGCGAAAGUGUGGGGAGCAAACAGGAUUAGAUACCCUGGUAGAAGGGCG
This 670-nucleotide ribosomal RNA is filed under the name uncultured Citreicella sp. RNAcentral's name for it is "bacterial SSU rRNA". It matches the Rfam family "Bacterial small subunit ribosomal RNA", at positions 95 to 797 of the family's 1533-position model. Lineage: Bacteria; Pseudomonadati; Pseudomonadota; Alphaproteobacteria; Rhodobacterales; Roseobacteraceae. The record is from RNAcentral.